This is a long non-coding RNA of Corythoichthys intestinalis (scribbled pipefish), 5074 nucleotides long. RefSeq lists it as uncharacterized. The transcript is spliced from 3 exons. The record is from RefSeq and is a predicted model, not a curated record. NCBI's taxonomy places the organism in Eukaryota, Metazoa, Chordata, Actinopteri, Syngnathiformes, Syngnathidae.
UUUAAAAUAUUUUUUAAUUUUCCAUAUAUUUGCUUAUUAUUUUUUUCGUUAGGAUUUUCAGGUUUUUUUUUUUUUUUUCAAGCUGCAUUUUUCAGUUUAAUUUUCCCGAAUUAGUAUUUUUUAUGAAUACUAUUUUUAUGUACUUACAUUAGGGCUGCAGCUAUCGAUUAUUGAAUUGAUAAAUCUAGUAAUUCAAAUAAUCGGGUAAUCUGAUUAGGAACAUUUAAGAUGUCACAGAAUCAAUUUAGGGAGAAGUAAAACAAAGGCUUGCCACGAUUGCACUUUCAAAAGAGAAUGAAAUGCAAAUACAUAAUAAAAUUCCCGGAUGUUUGUCAAAACUAUGCAGGAUUGUUCUUUCAUUUCACAAGAGCAAUAAAUGGAUUUAAAAAUAAAAAUACAUACCUGAGCUUACCCUUAAAAGGUACAAAAAAAUGAAUAAAUUAGGAUCGAAGUACAACAACAGAAAAAUUGGCUAACUUGCAUACUAAAAGUUGGCUAUCUUAAAUGGUAUAAAAUGCUAACGUUUUAUUUUCAAUGCUCUUAACAAAUAGUUCAAACACAUAUUCCCACAAAAUAAUGCUAAAUAUACCUCUAAACUAAAUUACGAACGCAUCAACAAGCAUAUUAGCUCAAACAAAAGCUUACAAACUUAUGUUGGAUUUAACUGGGAGAGACUAGAUCCAACCAUGUUAGAUGAGUUAUGCCAUAGUCACUGUUGCCAAACUUGCCACUAGAGAGCAGUGUGUCCACCUAAAUCAGUAAAACUAAAUGCAAACACUUUCAAAACAAACCAUUAAAACACCACUCUAAUUAAACAAAUCCUCAAAGCAGCAAAAUUUGACUAGAAGCUUUUUUCUAAUUGAAUUUGUCGAGUUAACCGAUUAAUCGUUGCAACACUAACUUACAUGGUCCUCCAAUGCUUUAUGUAUUUUUUAAAAUGAACAUUCAGGCAUCAAGUGGUUAAUCAUUACCAACAUUGUCUCCGUUUGACCAUUUUUGACACUUACCUGUGCCGAUCUUCAGUCUGCCACUCUGAGGCGCGGAGACGCCACCGCCGCCGUUCAUUGCUCGGCGUCUGGUCGAGCUGACUCCGCCCCCUCCACUUCACCACGCCCACAUGCAAACAAAACAUUGCGUGAACACAUUGAAGUUGGACAUUUGGUGUUUGAUCGGUUGGAAACAUUUCUAUCACGAAAAAAACUAUAAACUUCACAAACAAUCUGACUGAAGACUGACAGACUCAUUGGCCGCCAUUGACGGUGACAGACAAUCAUGUGGCUCUUAGAAAUUAGUUCAAACUAUCUCAAUAAAUUUAUCCCUAGUGGACUUCCAAGGCAUUUGAACUGGGAAUGUUGACGCUAGGCAUGUGCCGGCAUGAUAACCUUAAGCCAAAAUAUCACGGGUUUCACGGUAUCAUUGUAUUCCAUUUACAGCUCUAAAAUGUGUUAGAGAUAUUUGGGUUUAACAAAAAUAAAUGUCCAUUGAACAGGAUUUUUAUUUUUCAACAUGUCAAAGUUUUAAAACUGUUUAAUCAUUUAAAGAUAGAUUCAGGUCAAGAUUUUGCCGAUUUAGGAGAAUUUUAGAUAAAAAGUUAAUUAGGUUCGCUACAACAGAGCCUUCUAGAGAAGUCUACUGUUUUAAGAUGGCGGCUGUUUACCAAUGCCAGCAAGUCUGUCAUUUCGCAUCUAGUUCUCAAUACAUGUUCUAACGCCGCUGUCGUUUUUCAUUUUGCAUCUAGUUCUACAUAUAUGUGAUAUCUACUGUAGCAGUAUGUGGCCGUAUGCUUGUAGCAACUAGGCGUUGUUAGUAGCGGCUGUCGGCCACAGUCAGGUAGUUUUGUUUUUUUUAUCUAGCAGCAUGAGUAGAACAUUUACUCUCGGUCCGUUCCUCAUUGCGUUCCGAAGACCGCGCUCACUGUUUGUCUGCUUUACCUGGCAUAAUUCAAUAAUCAGAAUUUGGAUGUUUGUGAAUCGCUCUCGAAUCUUCCACAGCCGAAUCGCGAAUAAUCUAAGAAUUGGAAAUUUCACACGCCUCUAGUGUUUACUAUCCUUUACUUCUGUAUAAAUGUGAAAUCAUAUUGGAGGUAUUGCCUCCUCGGCAGCCACCCUCCGCAAACAACGUUUUACAUGUCUGUUGGCCAUCCUCCUCUAAGCCGCGGCCGUCUGUAACUUUACUGUAGCCGAAGUAUUCCCAUACCAGCGAUUUGGUUUUCUUCGAUGGGGGGAAAAAGUUCAGUUGUUUCACCACCUCCAGCCAUCGUGUCGCACAUCUGACUCACUGAUACUGAGCAACAACCGGUAGGGGAGGGUUGAGCCUUGCAGCUGCACGCGAGGGAUUUUUCCAUGCAUUUUUGGGACAUAAAAAAUAGCUAAUACCUUAUGGGACGGUAUGAUGGAAAAUUUUUGCAGUUUUCAUACCACGGUAAACCUUGAAACCAGUAAUCCUCACAUGUCUAGUGGUAGCGAAUGAAUGUUCGUUCAUUUGCUGCCAACCCUCCCACUUCCAAUGGAUUGGACGUCUAGUGCUGUCAGUGGCAGUUGAAGCAUUGCAUUGGAUUGCUGAUGCAAAAAUAUCCUCCAUGGCAGUACAGCAAAAACAAUUGAGUAUUGAUACUUUUGAAUCACGUGACCUAUCUAGAUACGCAACUUACGUAUCGAUACUUUUGCCACAAUAUUUUAAUAUCGUGCACAAGUAAUAUUAUCAGUUGGCGUUGCGGCACGGCCGGAAAUGACGCGUGUCACUGAAACUUCCGCUGGCACCAACACAAACCGUCGGGCCCUCAAAAUCUGGGCCUUCAAGAACAGAAAAGAAGUGGAAACGGGCGAAAAAGUGAGGUGAAAAAAAAAACUGCAAGUGGCGACGUUUAUCGAGUCACGUGGGCUACAGAAGACGAAGAAGAAAAAUAAAAGGCGGGACUCAAUGUGUCACUUAAGAACAAAAACAAACACAUGUCUUUCAAAUUCGCGCUGACUUGUGGUUCUGAUUGUUGUAGCGGUUGUGUGGGCUCUCACGGUUGCGUCGGUUGGAGCCAACAAGCCUUCACCGACAGGCCGCCAUGAACUAGCCAAGACAACACGGCGCCAACGACGAGGCCCAAAAGCCUAUUUAGUAGGCAAAAAGUCCACUUCGGACUCACCUCGAGGUUCCGGUGGCCAGUCCGCACGCUCCUGAACACCGUGUGGCGGUUCGGUGGCCGUCCUUGCAUCCAAAGUGCCCUUUCUUUGUGCCUGAAGCCCCGGGGAGUCUGCUCCAAAGCGAUCCGACAAAAGGAGCGUCUGGUCCGGGAUGAAACUCCGCCCAGCGCCGCAGGGGGAGGACCUCCGCGGCCAACGUGAAGACGAGGCGGAGAAAGGCAGCGCGCGCCCCGGAGAUGAGACCAGCCGAGACGGACCGGCGAGGCCCUAGUCGCCCUUUUAAACGUCUUGUUGACGCGUGUCAUUUCAAGAAAAAGGCAAAUAUCCGUCCCCGUGACUGGGGAUUGGCGGCGGGGCGGCCCGGCGUAGUGGCCCUGGGCCGGGCUGCCGCCGGAGAUUUGUCUAUUUCCAACGGCGGCCGCUCGAAGGCUCCUGCCCGGUGGACCCGGCGAAGGCGUCGCGGCGUUGGCUGUCGUGAGGACCGCUGAUGACACCUCGGCUCGGACCUCCGCAGGACGUCUGUCUGCUUUUCUGUUGUCAACCGCCCGGCUGCCUGAGGACCCAGCUCUUCGUGCCGGCGCGGCUUGAGAACAGGUUCCUCUGGAGCCCGAAGACACCGUGCCGAUCCAGGACAACCUCGUGGCGGCACGACGGGCAGCGGAAUCGGCCGCCAGAUGGCGCCGUCGAGCCCCCUCUGGAACUCAGGCCAAUAAGCUUACCAUGGGUCCGAUGCUGCAAGUCCUCCUCCUCGUCCACAUCGUCAUCUUGCAGGUCGUCGUAAGGAGUCUCCGCGUCCUGGUCGGCAGGGGACGGGGCCUUGAGGCGUCCGCAGCAGCAGUCGCAGCAGCAACACAAGCAGCAGCAGCAGUAAAAUCCCGUCAGCAGCCCGCACAGAACAAAUAAACCCUGAGCACAAAGCGCACAGCCACCACGUCACUUCAGGGUUUGUCCGUAUGGGGUUCACAUUUGUUACCACAAAAAAAUGUGUACUCUCAGAAAAAUGUGUUCCCAAAAAUCACUUUUUGUGCUUGAACAAAUAAUUUUUGUCUGUGAAUUUUUUUAUGCAGAAUUAUUAAGUGAGUGUAAAUACUUGUUUUAUGUAAACACUAUUUGUUUUGGCGAGUGCACAAUUUUUUUAUUUUUUAUUUUUUUUUGCGAAUGUGAAUUUUUUUUUUCCUAUCACGAUUUUUUUAAUUGAUUUUUUUUUUUUUUUUAUUUACGACCUAAAUUAUUUUUGCUCAAGAUGUUACUCAUUACUUGAGUAUUUUUUUCAACUACAAUACUUUUUUUAUACUAACUAAAUACUUUUUUACUUGUACCUGAGUACAUUUUUGGAUGACUACGUUAGUAAUAUUAUUUAGAAGUAGGGCUGUGAAAUUGAUCGCGUUAACGGGCGUUAAUUAAUUUUUCUAAAUAAUCAUGUUAAAAUAUUUGAUGCAAUUAACGCACAUGCCCCACUCAAUCAGAUUAAAAUGACAGCAGUGUCAUGUCCACUUGUUACUUGUGUUUUUUGUCUCCCUCUGCUGGCGCUUUGGUGCGACUGAUUUUAUGGGUUGACAUCAACAAUGGCGAGCUACUAGUUUAUUUUUUGAUUGAAAAUUUUACAAAUUUUAUUAAAACGAAAACACUAAGAAGGGUUUUAAUAUAAAAUUUCUAUAACUAGCACUAACAUUUAUCUUUUAAGAACUACAAGUCUUUCUAUCCAUGGAUCGCUUUAACAGAAUGUUAAUGCCAUCUUCUUGAUUUAUUCUUAUAAUAAACAAAUACAGUACUUAUGUACCGUAUGUUGAAUGUAUAUAUCCGGCUUGUGUCUUAUCUUUCCAUUCCAACAAUAAUUUACAGAAAAAUAUGGCAUAUUAUAUAGAUGGUUUGAAUUACGAUUAAUUACGAUUAAUUAAUUUUUAAGCUGUGAUUAACUCGAUUAAAAAUUUUAAUUGUUU